UUAACUCAAAUUUAUAUGCAGUUGGUACAGCGCCCCUAGCGGCAAACUUAGGCAACCGUUCCAACUCCAUACAAAUUUAAGUUA
Molecule: microRNA precursor, 84 nt
Filed under: Bombyx mori (domestic silkworm)
Lineage: Eukaryota; Metazoa; Arthropoda; Insecta; Lepidoptera; Bombycidae
Description: mir-2807 microRNA precursor family
Rfam family: mir-2807 microRNA precursor family
Source: Rfam by way of RNAcentral